AACGUAGGGGGCAAGCGUUGCCCGGAUUUACUGGGCGUAAAGCGGGUGUAGGCGGUCCUCUAAGUCAGAUGUGAAAUCCUACGGCUCAACCGUGGAACUGCAUCUGAUACUGGAGGACUUGAGGACGGUAGAGGUCGGUGGAAUCCCCGGUGUACCGGUGAAAUGGGCAGAUAUCGGGGGGAACACCAGUGGCGAAGGCGGCCGACUGGGCCGAUCCUGACGCUGAGACCCGAAAGCUAGGGUAGCGAACAGG
RNAcentral lists this ribosomal RNA (253 nucleotides) under uncultured bacterium. Its description in RNAcentral is "partial 16S ribosomal RNA". It matches the Rfam family "Bacterial small subunit ribosomal RNA", at positions 524 to 776 of the family's 1533-position model. The record is from RNAcentral.